This 649-nucleotide ribosomal RNA is filed under the name uncultured Actinomycetes bacterium. RNAcentral's name for it is "bacterial SSU rRNA". It matches the Rfam family "Bacterial small subunit ribosomal RNA", at positions 229 to 888 of the family's 1533-position model. The record is from RNAcentral. Lineage: Bacteria; Bacillati; Actinomycetota; Actinomycetes.
AUUCGCGGCCUAUCAGCUUGUUGGUGGGGUAAUGGCCUACCAAGGCGACGACGGGUAGCCGGCCUGAGAGGGCGACCGGCCACACUGGGACUGAGACACGGCCCAGACUCCUACGGGAGGCAGCAGUGGGGAAUAUUGCACAAUGGGGGAAACCCUGAUGCAGCGACGCAGCGUGCGGGAUGACGGCCUUCGGGUUGUAAACCGCUUUCAGCAGGGAAGAAGCGUAAGUGACGGUACCUGCAGAAGAAGUACCGGCUAACUACGUGCCAGCAGCCGCGGUAAUACGUAGGGUACGAGCGUUGUCCGGAAUUAUUGGGCGUAAAGAGCUCGUAGGUGGUUGGUCACGUCUGCUGUGGAAACGCAACGCUUAACGUUGCGCGGGCAGUGGGUACGGGCUGACUAGAGUGCAGUAGGGGAGUCUGGAAUUCCUGGUGUAGCGGUGAAAUGCGCAGAUAUCAGGAGGAACACCGGUGGCGAAGGCGGGACUCUGGGCUGUAACUGACACUGAGGAGCGAAAGCAUGGGGAGCGAACAGGAUUAGAUACCCUGGUAGUCCAUGCCGUAAACGUUGGGCACUAGGUGUGGGGGGCAUUCCACGUUCUCCGCGCCGUAGCUAACGCAUUAAGUGCCCCGCCUGGGGAGUACGGAAU